Solanum dulcamara is the source of this 691-nucleotide long non-coding RNA. RefSeq lists it as uncharacterized. The record is from RefSeq and is a predicted model, not a curated record. The transcript is spliced from 2 exons. Lineage: Eukaryota; Viridiplantae; Streptophyta; Magnoliopsida; Solanales; Solanaceae.
AUGUUUGCUUCAAGAGAAAGUAACCUUGUGAGUUAGCUAGCAAGUCUUCUAUAAAAGGAACACAAAUGUUUAAGAGACAUCCAAUAUCCUUAGCUCUCCUCUUACUAGUUCAGAAAUUCUACUAAUUACAAGCUCUAACAAAGAUUCAUGGCUAGUGAUGGACCAAGUUGGGCAGAUCAAUGGGGUGCAGGAGGGAUAGGUGCCAUGGAUGAAGAUGACAGCUAUUAUAAGAGCAACAAAGACAGUGAAAAUAAGAAGAAAGCCACUACUUCUUCAUCAUCAGCAGGAAUUGGCAAAGUCAAAGCAGUGGCAGUGGCGGGUGCACACAAGGUGAAAAAUGGUCCUUCCAUGUUCAUCAAAUGGGUUAGGAGCAAAUCCCAAAAGAAAAAUUCCUCCAUUUCAUGAAAUAGAGAAGGAUUAAAGAUUAUCUAGUCUUUAUCUUGCCUUCUGUAAGAGGAUUUCAGAUCAAACAUGUCUAUUUGGGGGGGCUUCAAAUAGAGAUCAUGGAUUGUUAUGCUUCAUUUAUAUCUCGACUUGUUUAGGUUUAACCAAUUUCAUUUGGUUAGUGUUGUUAGCUCCUGGUAGUGUCUUGUUUCGGGGUGAGUUUAAGUACCAUGCCCUGAUGGUGUCAAGAAUAUGUAUGCAAUCAGACUACUAAUAAGGUAAAUAAUUACAGAUUAAGUCUCUCUAA